Molecule: ribosomal RNA, 465 nt
Filed under: Vreelandella stevensii
Lineage: Bacteria; Pseudomonadati; Pseudomonadota; Gammaproteobacteria; Oceanospirillales; Halomonadaceae
Description: partial 16S ribosomal RNA
Rfam family: Bacterial small subunit ribosomal RNA
Source: RNAcentral
CCUACGGGAGGCAGCAGUGGGGAAUAUUGGACAAUGGGGGGAACCCUGAUCCAGCCAUGCCGCGUGUGUGAAGAAGGCCCUCGGGUUGUAAAGCACUUUCAGUGAGGAAGAACGCCUGGUGGUUAAUACCCAUCAGGAAAGACAUCACUCACAGAAGAAGCACCGGCUAACUCCGUGCCAGCAGCCGCGGUAAUACGGAGGGUGCGAGCGUUAAUCGGAAUUACUGGGCGUAAAGCGCGCGUAGGUGGCUUGAUAAGCCGGUUGUGAAAGCCCCGGGCUCAACCUGGGAACGGCAUCCGGAACUGUCCAGCUAGAGUGCAGGAGAGGAAGGUAGAAUUCCCGGUGUAGCGGUGAAAUGCGUAGAGAUCGGGAGGAAUACCAGUGGCGAAGGCGGCCUUCUGGACUGACACUGACACUGAGGUGCGAAAGCGUGGGUAGCAAACAGGAUUAGAUACCCCUGUAGUC